Molecule: transfer RNA, 72 nt
Filed under: Nanobdellota archaeon
Lineage: Archaea; Nanobdellati; Nanobdellota
Description: tRNA-His
Rfam family: tRNA
About the family: Transfer RNA (tRNA) molecules are approximately 80 nucleotides in length. Their secondary structure includes four short double-helical elements and three loops (D, anti-codon, and T loops). Further hydrogen bonds mediate the characteristic L-shaped molecular structure. tRNAs have two regions of fundamental functional importance: the anti-codon, which is responsible for specific mRNA codon recognition, and the 3' end, to which the tRNAs corresponding amino acid is attached (by aminoacyl-tRNA synthetases). tRNAs cope with the degeneracy of the genetic code in two manners: having more than one tRNA (with a specific anti-codon) for a particular amino acid; and 'wobble' base-pairing, i.e. permitting non-standard base-pairing at the 3rd anti-codon position.
Source: RNAcentral
GCGGUUGUGGUCUAACGGUUAUGACGUACGGUUGUGGUCCGUGAAAAGGGAGUUCGACUCUCCCCUUCCGCC